RNAcentral lists this ribosomal RNA (505 nucleotides) under Agrococcus jenensis. RNAcentral's name for it is "bacterial SSU rRNA". It matches the Rfam family "Bacterial small subunit ribosomal RNA", at positions 373 to 888 of the family's 1533-position model. Lineage: Bacteria; Bacillati; Actinomycetota; Actinomycetes; Micrococcales; Microbacteriaceae. The record is from RNAcentral.
GGGCGCAAGCCUGAUGCAGCAACGCCGCGUGAGGGACGAAGGCCUUCGGGUUGUAAACCUCUUUUAGCAGGGAAGAAGCGAAAGUGACGGUACCUGCAGAAAAAGCACCGGCUAACUACGUGCCAGCAGCCGCGGUAAUACGUAGGGUGCAAGCGUUGUCCGGAAUUAUUGGGCGUAAAGAGCUCGUAGGCGGUUUGUCGCGUCUGCUGUGAAAACCCGAGGCUCAACCUCGGGCUUGCAGUGGGUACGGGCAGACUAGAGUGCGGUAGGGGAGAUUGGAAUUCCUGGUGUAGCGGUGGAAUGCGCAGAUAUCAGGAGGAACACCGAUGGCGAAGGCAGAUCUCUGGGCCGUAACUGACGCUGAGGAGCGAAAGCAUGGGGAGCAAACAGGCUUAGAUACCCUGGUAGUCCAUGCCGUAAACGUUGGGAACUAGAUGUGGGGACCAUUCCACGGUCUCCGUGUCGUAGCUAACGCAUUAAGUUCCCCGCCUGGGGAGUACGGCCG